CUAAGUACAUGCCGUAUUAAGGCGAAACCGCGAAUGGCUCAUUAAAUCAGUUAUGGUUCCUUGGAUCGUACCUUACUACUUGGAUAACUGUGGUAAUUCUAGAGCUAAUACAUGCAGCAGAGCUCCGACCUUCGGGGACGAGCGCUUUUAUUAGACCAAAACCAAUCGGACUUUGUCCGUCUCUUGUGGUGACUCUGAAUAACUUUGGGCUGAUCGCACAGGCCCGUCCUGGCGACGUAUCUUUCAAGUGUCUGCCUUAUCAACUUUCGAUGGUAGGUUACGCGCCUACCAUGGUCGUAACGGGUAACGGGGAAUCAGGGUUCGAUUCCGGAGAGGGRGCCUGAGAAACGGCUACCACAUCCAAGGAAGGCAGCAGGCGCGCAAAUUACCCACUCCCAGAACGGGGAGGUAGUGACGAAAAAUAACAAUACGGGACUCUUUUGAGACCCCGUAAUUGGAAUGAGUACACUCUAAAUCCUUUAACGAGGAUCCAUUGGAGGGCAAGUCUGGUGCCAGCCGCCGCGGUAACUCCAGCUCCAAUAGCGUAUAUUAAAGUUGUUGCGGUUAAAAAGCUCGUAGUUGGAUCUCAGUUCCAGACGGGUGGUCCGCCUACCGGUGGUUACUGCCUGUUCUGAACAGCCAGCCGGUUUCUCUUGAUGAUCUUCACCGGUUGUCUUGGGUGACCGGCAAGUUUACUUUGAAAAAAUUAGAGUGCUCAAAGCAGGCGCGACGCCUGAAUAAUGGUGCAUGGAAUAAUGGAAUAGGACCUCGGUUCUAUUUUGUUGGUUUUCGGAACACGAGGUAAUGAUUAAGAGGGACAGACGGGGGCAUUCGUAUGCGACGCUAGA
This 848-nucleotide ribosomal RNA is filed under the name Pancorius alboclypeus. RNAcentral describes it as "SSU rRNA". The record is from RNAcentral. Lineage: Eukaryota; Metazoa; Arthropoda; Arachnida; Araneae; Salticidae.